UGUGGAUUAGUGUAAUGGUAACAUCUUUGGCUCAUAAUCAGAGGAUAGAGGUUCAAAUCCUUUGUCCGCAA
Molecule: transfer RNA, 71 nt
Filed under: Pneumocystis oryctolagi
Lineage: Eukaryota; Fungi; Ascomycota; Pneumocystomycetes; Pneumocystales; Pneumocystaceae
Description: tRNA-Met
Rfam family: tRNA
About the family: Transfer RNA (tRNA) molecules are approximately 80 nucleotides in length. Their secondary structure includes four short double-helical elements and three loops (D, anti-codon, and T loops). Further hydrogen bonds mediate the characteristic L-shaped molecular structure. tRNAs have two regions of fundamental functional importance: the anti-codon, which is responsible for specific mRNA codon recognition, and the 3' end, to which the tRNAs corresponding amino acid is attached (by aminoacyl-tRNA synthetases). tRNAs cope with the degeneracy of the genetic code in two manners: having more than one tRNA (with a specific anti-codon) for a particular amino acid; and 'wobble' base-pairing, i.e. permitting non-standard base-pairing at the 3rd anti-codon position.
Source: RNAcentral